This 349-nucleotide ribosomal RNA is filed under the name uncultured bacterium. Its description in RNAcentral is "bacterial SSU rRNA". It matches the Rfam family "Bacterial small subunit ribosomal RNA", at positions 917 to 1269 of the family's 1533-position model. The record is from RNAcentral.
GGGCCCGCACAAGCAGCGGAGCGUGUUGCUUAAUUCGAUGCAACGCGAAGAACCUUACCAGGGCUUGACAUCCUGCGAACCUCUGGGAAACCGGAGGGUGCCUUCGGGAACGCAGUGACAGGUGGUGCAUGGCUGUCGUCAGCUCGUGUCGUGAGAUGUUGGUUAAGUCCCGCAACGAGCGCAACCCACGUCUUUAGUUGCCAGCAUUUAGUUGGGCACUCUAGAGAGACCGCCGGUGACAAACCGGAGGAAGGUGUGGAUGACGUCAAGUCAUCAUGCCCCUUACGUCCUGGCUACACACGUACUACAAUGCUACGGACAAAGGGCAGCAAGUUCGCGAGGACAAGCA